RNAcentral lists this ribosomal RNA (453 nucleotides) under uncultured bacterium. RNAcentral describes it as "bacterial SSU rRNA". It matches the Rfam family "Bacterial small subunit ribosomal RNA", at positions 355 to 825 of the family's 1533-position model. The record is from RNAcentral.
UCGAGAAUCUUCCGCAAUGGACGAAAGUCUGACGGAGCGACGCCGCGUGAUGGAUGAAGUCCCUCUGGGACGUAAACAUCUUUUAUGAGGGAGAAAGUUUUAUUGAUAGUACCUCACGAAUAAGGGGUUGCUAAACUCGUGCCAGCAGCAGCGGUAAUACGAGUGCCCCGAGCGUUAUCCGGAAUCAUUGGGCGUAAAGGGUGUGUAGGUGGCAUUGUUAGUCACACGUUAAACCCUGGGGCUUAACCCCAGAUCUGCGUGUGAUACGGCAAAGCUAGAGGAUGGCAGGGAUGUAUGGAACUCAUGGAGUAGGGGUGAAAUCCGUUGAUAUCAUGGGGAACACCGAAAGCGAAGGCAGUACAUUGGGCCACUCCUGACACUGAAACACGAAAGCGUGGGUAGCGAAUGGGAUUAGAUACCCCUGUAGUCCCUGAGCGGGCUGGCAAGGCGCAU